RNAcentral lists this long non-coding RNA (519 nucleotides) under Coturnix japonica (Japanese quail). Its description in RNAcentral is "lncRNA (ENSCJPG00005001163.1)". The record is from RNAcentral. Lineage: Eukaryota; Metazoa; Chordata; Aves; Galliformes; Phasianidae.
AGGGCAUCAGAGGUCACUUGAGGGUCACCUGAGGUCACCUGGGGUUACUUGGGGGUCACCUGGGGUCACCUAGGGUCACUUGAAGGGCAUUGGAGGUCACUUGGGAGUCAUCUGAGGUCAACUGGGGUCAUCUGAGGUCACCUAGGGUCACCUGGGGUCACCUGGGGUCACUUGAAGGGCAUCGGAGGUCACUUGGGGGUCACCUGGGGUCAACUAGUGCCACCUAGGGUCACUUGGGGGUCAUCUGAGGUCACCUAGGGUCACUUGGGGUCACCUGGGGUCACUUGAAGGGCAUCAGAGGUCACUUGGGGGUCAUCUGAGGUCACCUGGGGUCACUUGGGGUCACUUGGGGUCACCUGGGGUCACUUGGGGGUCAUCUGAGGUCACCUGGGGUCACUUGGGGGUCACCCGGGGUCACCUGGGGUCACUUGGGGGUCAUCUGAGGUCACCUGGGGUCACUUGGGGUCACCUGGGGUCUGUCACGUGAUGUCACCAAUAAAGCCCUGCCAUUGGCUCCCA